Molecule: long non-coding RNA, 3726 nt
Organism: Monomorium pharaonis (pharaoh ant)
Lineage: Eukaryota; Metazoa; Arthropoda; Insecta; Hymenoptera; Formicidae
Exons: 3
Source: RefSeq, a predicted model, not a curated record
AAGACUUUAAUAUUUUUCUGAAUGUAUAAUCCUCUAGGAAAAAACUAAAAAGAAAAUAAAAACUAUGUUACAGAUCAAAAUACUAUCAAUAUACUAAAAUAUAAAUUAUAAGAUAUGAAGAUAAGAAGACAAGAAAAAACAGAAAAACUUAUCUCACAUUUAGCUAGUUUUUUGACGAUCUCUAUUACUAUAUAUAACGAUCUUCUCGUGUUUGCAUUAGAAGCUUGUAAUUAUCUCUGGGCUACCUCACGCGAUAAUUAGAAAAAGAGCGAAAACUUUACGCUUCGUCAUACGUCUGCGGAGUUUCUUAAUGAAGUUGAUCCUUUAAUUAACGUCGAGGAAAAUGAUAAAAAGGUAAAUGACAAAGGAGAAACUUUUCUCUCGUUACCGUAUCGUACGGGGAAAAGCAAAAAUGUAAAAAUAUACGAAAAUUGCGAAACGUAAUUGGAAUAGUAGAAAACAGAGGGUUUUCAUUAUAGAAAUACAAAGUUAUAUGAUGCGUGUUUAGAACAGAUAUUCAAUUUGAAUGCAUUCCAAGUAGCAGGUGAGGCAUGAUUCAUGACUCACGUCUAGCACGAAAAUUACUUGCGAAUCGAAUUACAUAUCGAAGAGUAGCUGAAGGAAAUUUAUUUCUGUUUUUAUGUCCUACUGCUUGAAAAUGAUCAAAGAAAUUAUCAUCAUCAUGUUGAAGAACAGUUUUGUAUUAUUUUUACGACAUAUGUUAUAUUAUUGAAUAUUUCGACGAGUCAAAGUAGAACAGAUAGUACUUGUAGAUUUAUGUCUAUCUAUUAUCCAUUUCUGUUGAUAAAUUAUUAUUGCAUUCAUUAUUUGACAGAAUCGAAUUGAUCUAUUGAAAAUUUGGCCGCCAUUAUUUGAGAGUUAAUUGUGCUUUUCAUCAUUCGCUACAAAUAGAUCAAUUCCGCGUAAUUAAAUUUAUAUUUUAUUUAUCACUAAUUUCACUCGUACGGAUGAUUAAUGAAUUUCUCUCGGAAGCGCAACGCCAGAUGAUACAGCUAUUUAUAAACAAACGCAUCGCGUCCAAAGCGCCGGCGUGGCUUUUGCAAAAUAAAAUACUUAUGAAACGCGCUCUGUCGGCGUGGAGUUGUUCGCGCGCUCGCAAUCUAACGAGGUAGGACGUGAGGUCUUUGAUGUGAAACGCGCGCGCCGACGCGGGAUGUAAGCGAGACCAGAAGUUACAUCGUGCAACAAUUACGCUCUUUUAAGCGUGACGACGCGACAAAAUGGCGGGGGCGAUGUAUCUCCUUUGUAACGUGAACUUCAGCAGUACGAAAGUUUUCGCGCUGCCGGGCAAAAACUUAGGGCUCGUUAAGAGGCGCGCAUUUGCAUGACAUUUAUCACAACUCCUGCGAGGACCUUUAAGAUACGUGCCAGCGGGACCGGGAUAAGGCCGGAAGGAUUAAUGAGGACGUCUUUCUCCCAACCUCUCUGUUGCCACGCUCGCACUUCGCACGGUGUUAAGACGAAAUAUAUAUUCGCCCGGCUCUUAACUCUUUGGUACUUUGGCGUCAUCUCUUCGGUUGGUAUUCUUGAAUUGUGUUGCUCUACGUGCGCCGGAAGUAUGCCGGGACCACCGCGAUGUGUAAGUGAUGCUCUUUUCCCCGGAGAAACAACGUGUGGCCAUUCACCGAUCUUAUCUCUAUUUUUAAUCAACGGCUGGAGGUAGAAAAAAGAAGGUACACAGCUUUCGCUCGACCACCAAGUAUGUACAGUAGUGAUUAUUAAAUCGAUUUUAUUAUUUUAUUUUUGCGAUGUCGGUAUAUCGAUAGAUCAACGUAACAUUAAUGGCGCCCUGAAAUAACAAGUAAAGAUAAAAAAAAUUAUUCGCUGAUGACACUACCUUUUUUUAUAAAGUGAAAAAUAGUGUACUCUCGUACUUCCCGACUUUAAUUAUGUAAAAUUACUUUACCAGCGGCGCACGCUGAUCGAUAGUGCAGUUGUAGACAGAGGGGGAGGGGGACGAAACUACGAGGGGGACGGUUACGAGAAACGUGUUACUUGUUACUUUUUCCCGCGUGCAUACGUAACUGUACACACGUGUAGGCGAGCCUUGCGAGAAUGACUGUAUCGGAAAGCUGUCUCCCCGAUAUUCCGACUGGCUCUCUAGCUUGACCCUCACCAUUCGCUCUCGCCUCUCGUUUCUUCGAUUUUUUACCGCGACCCGCAUGACAUCCGCGCGAGACACGAUGCACCCACGUGUAUUGGUACGGUCCCAGGUAUACGCCGCACGUGGCGCGGCACGAGGAGCAAAACGUGAGUACCUCUCGGGUGUGGUUUUGUUUCUCUUUGGAGAGGAUCGCUCCCGCGUGCAAAGUUUCCCCGUGACUAAUUAGCCGAUUACAAAGACGGAAAUAGCUGCUCUCUCGUUCGAUGAGAGCAAUUCAGAUACAUUGUUAUUUUAUUUGACGUGAAAAGAACUCGAUGUAAAUGUUCAUAUUUUAACACGGAAAUGAUACACGAGAUUGUUAUUCUUUUCUUUUAAAUUAUGAUUGAUAUGAUUGAGAAUAUUCUGCGUAUGUUUAAAAAAAAAUACAAAGUUAAAGUACGAAAAUAUUUUAAAAUUUAUUUUUAAGUAAUUCUGUCAAAAAUAUUAAUUUUUAGAAAUUUGAAAAUAUUGUAAAUUUGUAAAUAAAUAGAUUUUUACAUGAGAAAGCAUAUUUAUCCGGUUCAAACUGUUUGCACGCCGGGUCUCCAACCGCUCUCGUGACAAUAGCGCUACAAUGGUGUUAAAUGACGUUAGUUAAAAAAAAAAACACUGGCUUUAUUGUGUGUAUUAUACUGUGUGAAAACCGUCGUCUAAUUGUCGAUUCAUCUACGAAGGGAUUGCGAAAGUCGUGUCCCGACUUAAAUGCCAAACGAUUUACAAUGACUGCAUGCGCAUGUAAACCGCUUACGUUUACUCCAGGAAGGAGGUCACAUCGUGUGUAUCCUUAUCGGCGACGAGUCGAGGCUGUUGCACCGCGCGGCGGCGGCGGCGUUUCCUACAUCUCGGCCAGCUAUUAUGCGUUUUCUCCCUUGCAUCGGAUGCAUGCCGCGCGUCACAGGUGCGACGUGUACGGUAUACGCGAUCGAAGCGCGCGUUCUCGAUCACACGACGCUCUUUCCGAGGGUCAGCGAGUCUCGGCUAUGAGUACCCUCGUAUUUAUCGACGCCGCCGUGAGGAAAGGAGAAACGUGACUCCCUUGAAGAAAAUUUCAAACGGAUACACAAUAAAAAUAUUCAUCGGCUAAUUAAUAUUCGAUAAAAUGUUUUUCAUCAAUACAUUACGUUAAUUUGUUAAUGUGGUAUAAUUAAGAUAAUUACGGCAGUAAAAAUUUUAGUAAUUUCAUUUUGAAAAGAGAUUCCCUUGAGACCGUAAUAAUAAUAUUUUUCGAGGAUGCUACCGAAAAUUCUCGCGAGAUUUAUAAUGAGGUACGUAAUGUAAAAAUACCGUUGUUCUAGUUUGGAGUACGAAGCGCGUUUUUACAUUUAUCCCUUCUGCAGUACUACCAUGGAGUCUUUUCUAAUUAUGCGAGAGGAUAAAUUAGAGCUCCCUUAGUUUCAAGCUUUGUUCUCUCUCCCAUAUAAUUUUGCAACAUAUUUUACAUAUAGCCUCUGUUAUUCGUAAAGCGAGGAAUUAGUAGAAUAAAGAUUCAGACUUGUAGAUAUUAAUAAGAAAUAAUUAUUCAUUAUUUAAUUUUCAAGAAGAUUUUAUUAUUUAAUUAUUAA